This 345-nucleotide unclassified non-coding RNA is filed under the name soil metagenome. RNAcentral's name for it is "partial contains 5.8S ribosomal RNA, internal transcribed spacer 2, and large subunit ribosomal RNA". The stretch from base 1 to 120 matches the Rfam family "5.8S ribosomal RNA", at positions 35 to 154 of the family's 154-position model. The record is from RNAcentral.
GAUGAAGAACGCAGCGAAAUGCGAUACGUAAUGUGAAUUGCAGAAUUCAGUGAAUCAUCGAGUCUUUGAACGCACAUUGCGCCCCCUGGUAUUCCGGGGGGCAUGCCUGUCCGAGCGUCAUUGCUGCCCUCAAGCACGGCUUGUGUGUUGGGCCUCCGUCCUCCUCCCGGGGGACGGGCCCGAAAGGCAGCGGCGGCACCGCGUCCGGUCCUCGAGCGUAUGGGGCUUCGUCACCCGCUCUUGUAGGCCCGGCCGGCGCUUGCCGACACAUCAAUCUUUUUUCCAGGUUGACCUCGGAUCAAGUAGGGAUACCCGCUGAACUUAAGCAUAUCAAUAAGCGGAGGA